CUCUUACACUCCUACGGGGAGCAGCAGUAGGGAAUCUUCACAAUGGGCGCAAGCCUGAUGGAGCAACACCGCGUGAGUGAAGAAGGGUUUCGGCUCGUAAAGCUCUGUUGUUUAAAGAAGAACACGUAUGAGAGUAACUGUUCAUACGUUGACGGUAUUUAACCAGAAAGUCACGGCUAACUACGUGCCAGCAGCCGCGGUAAUACGUAGGUGGCAAGCGUUAUCCGGAUUUAUUGGGCGUAAAGAGAGUGCAGGCGGUUUUCUAAGUCUGAUGUGAAAGCCUUCGGCUUAACCGGAGAAGUGCAUCGGAAACUGGAUAACUUGAGUGCAGAAGAGGGUAGUGGAACUCCAUGUGUAGCGGUGGAAUGCGUAGAUAUAUGGAAGAACACCAGUGGCGAAGGCGGCUACCUGGUCUGCAACUGACGCUGAGACUCGAAAGCAUGGGUAGCGAACAGGAUUAGAUACCCUGGUAG
Molecule: ribosomal RNA, 473 nt
Filed under: uncultured bacterium
Lineage: Bacteria
Description: bacterial SSU rRNA
Rfam family: Bacterial small subunit ribosomal RNA
Source: RNAcentral